CCCAGGUUAGUUGGCUCAAUCCUGGUACUGCCCACUGUCCUCACAAGUCAAGUUCUCAAUCCUCAGGGACGUCAUGUUGGGCACAUGGACUCUCUGCCUGUACUUGUCCUGGAGGCUGGCCCAGGUUGGAGCCUCUCCUGGCCCACUAUGGACUUGCAGCAUAAGAGUGUAGUUUGAUUCAGAGCCAAAGCCCCAUGAGAUCUCCUCUAGCUCGGCUCCUGGCUCCUUGAUCACAUGAAACAACACAGAACCUCCUUGGAUCCUCUUCAGAGGAACGUGAGUUCCAGAAUCCUGAGCUCCAGAACCAUGUGCUCCAGAACUCUUGAACCCAGUGC
This is a non-coding RNA of Ceratotherium simum simum (southern white rhinoceros), 335 nucleotides long. The record is from RefSeq and is a predicted model, not a curated record. NCBI's taxonomy places the organism in Eukaryota, Metazoa, Chordata, Mammalia, Perissodactyla, Rhinocerotidae.